UGGGGAAUAUUGGACAAUGGGCGGAAGCCUGAUCCAGCCAUGCCGCGUGUGUGAAGAAGGCCUUUUGGUUGUAAAGCACUUUAAGCGAGGAGGAGGCUACUUGGAUUAAUACUCUAGGAUAGUGGACGUUACUCGCAGAAUAAGCACCGGCUAACUCUGUGCCAGCAGCCGCGGUAAUACAGAGGGUGCGAGCGUUAAUCGGAUUUACUGGGCGUAAAGCGUGCGUAGGCGGCUUCUUAAGUCGGAUGUGAAAUCCCUGAGCUUAACUUAGGAAUUGCAUUAGAUAGUGGGAAGCUAGAGUAUGGGAGAGGAUGGUAGAAUUCCAGGUGUAGCGGUGAAAUGCGGAGAGAUCUGGAGGAAUACCGAUGGCGAAGGCAGCCAUCUGGCCUAAUACUGACGCUGAGGUACGAAAGCAUGGGGAGCAAACAGG
This 430-nucleotide ribosomal RNA is filed under the name Acidobacteriota bacterium. Its description in RNAcentral is "Acidobacteria bacterium partial 16S ribosomal RNA". It matches the Rfam family "Bacterial small subunit ribosomal RNA", at positions 355 to 776 of the family's 1533-position model. Lineage: Bacteria; Pseudomonadati; Acidobacteriota. The record is from RNAcentral.